Culex pipiens pallens (northern house mosquito) is the source of this 466-nucleotide long non-coding RNA. RefSeq lists it as uncharacterized. The record is from RefSeq and is a predicted model, not a curated record. NCBI's taxonomy places the organism in Eukaryota, Metazoa, Arthropoda, Insecta, Diptera, Culicidae. The transcript has 2 exons.
CACAUUAAAAUAAUCUUUUUAAAAAAAGUCUGUAAAAUGUUCAUAUGAAUGUAAUUAUAUUUUUCUUACCAUUAGCAUUUUAUCCCAACAAAGGUAAUGAGAAUAAUAAACAAACUUAUGCAACCUGACAGUUAAUGUCAGAUUUUCGUCAACACAAAACGUCCGGCAAUUUGGUUUAAGUUUGAUAAUUUCCAAAAUUUCGGCACAUCCAGACCACUAUUUGCCAUGAAAUACUCGAAGGGAACAUUGAUGAGAUUUCCCUUAAUUUUUGGCGGAAUAUUACUUGGAUUUUCAGUUGCAUUUUACAAUAGGGAUAAGUUCAUGACUGAUUUGGAGGAAGAACGAAAGAAGCUGGACCGAGAGGAGGAAGGUUCGCGGCAGAUCCUACUCGAGGCAAUGGAAACUGUGAACAAAGCUAGAGCUGCAAGGCAGCAGAACAAAUAAAGACGCAAUUUAAAAUGUUUUA